RNAcentral lists this ribosomal RNA (305 nucleotides) under uncultured bacterium. Its description in RNAcentral is "bacterial SSU rRNA". It matches the Rfam family "Bacterial small subunit ribosomal RNA", at positions 333 to 655 of the family's 1533-position model. The record is from RNAcentral.
UUUCGCCUACGGGGCGCAGCAGUGGGGAAUAUUGCACAAUGGGGGAAACCCUGAUGCAGCGACGCCGCGUGAAGGAAGAAGUAUUUCGGUAUGUAAACUUCUAUCAGCAGGGAAGAAAAUGACGGUACCUGACUAAGAAGCCCCGGCUAACUACGUGCCAGCAGCCGCGGUAAUACGUAGGGGGCAAGCGUUAUCCGGAUUUACUGGGUGUAAAGGGAGCGUAGACGGCAUGGCAAGUCUGAUGUGAACACCCGGGGCUCAACCCCGGGACUGCAUUGGAAACUGUCAGGCUAGAGUGUCGGAGG